GCCUAUAAGUUCACAUGUCUCCAAUCAAUAUUAUAAACAUUUUUCCGCAAUUUGUAUUGUAAUGAGUUUGCAUCUUCUAGAGGACGGCCACCAAAAACAACACUUAAUCUGGUGAAAAUAUAUAGGUAAUCCAAGAUUCCAAUGCUUUAGAACAUUUAGACACUCAGAAUCUGGCAACCGAAGAAAGUUGAGGUUUCAUCAUAAAAUCAAUUGGUGAUAUGGAAAGUAACUCAACUUCUUAUAAGCUCAUGCAAGGUCGCUCAUCCCAUCAAUGUAAGACUCAUUCUCAACACGCUCUCACACGUGUGAUGAACUUUCAAGCCUAACACGUGGAUAAUACAACAUAGUGACAUGGAGUGCAUGUGGCCAUUUGGCUUCACACGUGGGACAAUCUAGCUCUGAUACCAUAAAGAAAGUUGGCGUUCCACCAUAAAACUAAUUGAUGAUAUGGAGAG
RNAcentral lists this long non-coding RNA (455 nucleotides) under Malus domestica (apple). RNAcentral describes it as "long non-coding RNA (MDOM_LNC001289)". The record is from RNAcentral. Lineage: Eukaryota; Viridiplantae; Streptophyta; Magnoliopsida; Rosales; Rosaceae.